UAAUUUAAUCUAUUGAGUAUGUGCUUUGAA
RNAcentral lists this non-coding RNA (30 nucleotides) under Mus musculus (house mouse). Lineage: Eukaryota; Metazoa; Chordata; Mammalia; Rodentia; Muridae. The record is from RNAcentral.